This 144-nucleotide small nucleolar RNA is filed under the name Phaeoacremonium minimum UCRPA7. The record is from RNAcentral. Lineage: Eukaryota; Fungi; Ascomycota; Sordariomycetes; Togniniales; Togniniaceae.
AUUCGGCAUGAUAACUGGACGACGGUCUCAAAAACCCAACGACUCUAGUCUUUUAAGUUGCCGAUAGAUUGACCUGCGAAGAUCUUACACGUUCUCUGAGUUUUUUUCGCCAUGACGUCUAACGUUUAGUCUUACGCAACAUCC